This is a long non-coding RNA of Perca flavescens (yellow perch), 1078 nucleotides long. RefSeq lists it as uncharacterized. The record is from RefSeq and is a predicted model, not a curated record. Lineage: Eukaryota; Metazoa; Chordata; Actinopteri; Perciformes; Percidae. The transcript has 3 exons.
AACUAAUGUUUUGGUGCCUCCUUCCUUGUCUUUCUGUAGUUUUUGUGUUUCAGCUGCAGCAAUAGAAAUGGUUGAGAAGAGGAAAAAGAGGAAGAAGAGGAAGCGAUCCAAUUCCAUAAGGGAGCCGCUCAACUUUGGUGUUGAAAAGACACAAAGCGAGCUGACUGUGGAGCCGUCCAGCUAUCCGAUGUGUAUGGAGGUUUUGAGUGAUCCAGUGCGUUUGACUUGUUCAAAAACAGAGCUUACUCCACUGCACUGCUCUGCGCUGGCCGACAUGCUGCAGGUAUCGAAAGACAAUCUGCAUGUGUUGGACUUGAAGAAAUUCAACACAUCAGAGGAAGGCUGAAGGAGGCUGAUACCAGCUGUGAGGACCAGCAGAAAGGCCAUACUGGCAGACUGCAAAGUGACUGAAGAAUGGGUCAAACAUCUGGCCUUUGGUCUCAAGUUCCCCUACUCAGCUCUGAGGGAUCUGGAUCUGAGCAACAAUGACCUAAAAGAUUCAGGAGUAAAGCUGCUCUGUGAUGGACCAUGAUAUUGUCCUUUUGUGGUGGCAAAUUUUAUUUUAACCAUUAUUGAUUAAUGAUUUUAACCAUUUGUUUAAAGAUUGUUUUACACCUCCCCAAAAUUCUGUUCCUUCCUCUUAAGACUUAAAGACCAGAGAGGGACAGCUGCAGCCAUGAACUCUCAGCCUAGUAGUUUUAUUUUUAAGAAACUAGCUUCUCAUUUUGUUUUAACUUAUAGCAGAUAAAGUGAAGAAGGCCAUAAACUGUCUUAACCCUGUCUCCUUCUGCCUCGUGAGAUAAAUUGUUGUUUAGGCUAAUGUUAGGAACAGAGAGCAGAGGGGAAGGUGAGACAAUGGGGUGACUGUAAUGAUGUCCUCUUUUCAACUAUGGCCAUGCUAAAAGAUACGUUUAGAGGGGUGGCUAAACAGAGGUUUUUACUAUAUGAUGUUUGAAUGUUUAGACUUUAGGUUAGAAAUGCUCAUUCAGUCGUGCUGCGUGUACCUGUGAAUCUGUAUUUCUCAAUUUUGCACAAUGUAAUAAAUGCUCAAAGACCAGACUUUGGUUUAAUUCUCAAA